UCCUGGUGGGUGUGGCUCCCUCUUCCCUCUUUCAAGCAGGGUAAGGUAUGUCACUGGGAGAGGCAGGCCACCAGUAUUUCUCAUCACCUCCAACACUGACUUGCAGACAC
Long non-coding RNA from Myotis daubentonii (Daubenton's bat), 110 nucleotides. RefSeq lists it as uncharacterized. The transcript is spliced from 3 exons. The record is from RefSeq and is a predicted model, not a curated record. NCBI's taxonomy places the organism in Eukaryota, Metazoa, Chordata, Mammalia, Chiroptera, Vespertilionidae.